AUUGAACGCUGGCGGCAUGCCUUACACAUGCAAGUCGAACGGCAGCACGGGAGCAAUCCUGGUGGCGAGUGGCGAACGGGUGAGUAAUAUAUCGGAACGUGCCCAGUCGUGGGGAUAACGUAGCGAAAGCUACGCUAAUACCGCAUACGAUCUAUGGAUGAAAGCGGGGGAUCGCAAGACCUCGCGCGAUUGGAGCGGCUGAUAUCAGAUUAGGUUGUUGGUGAGGUAAAAGCUCACCAAGCCGACGAUCUGUAGCUGGUUUGAGAGAACGACCAGCCACACUGGGACUGAGACACGGCCCAGACUCCUACGGGAGGCAGCAGUGGGGAAUUUUGGACAAUGGGCGAAAGCCUGAUCCAGCAAUGCCGCGUGCAGGAAGAAGGCCUUCGGGUU
RNAcentral lists this ribosomal RNA (393 nucleotides) under uncultured bacterium. Its description in RNAcentral is "bacterial SSU rRNA". It matches the Rfam family "Bacterial small subunit ribosomal RNA", at positions 30 to 424 of the family's 1533-position model. The record is from RNAcentral.